Nyctereutes procyonoides (raccoon dog) is the source of this 4357-nucleotide RNA transcript. It is a transcript of the gene named cell division cycle 16, with no coding region annotated. NCBI's taxonomy places the organism in Eukaryota, Metazoa, Chordata, Mammalia, Carnivora, Canidae. The transcript is spliced from 19 exons. The record is from RefSeq and is a predicted model, not a curated record.
AGGCCGCAGGGGGAGCAGGGGCCGCAAAGGCCGCACAGCGUCUGCGGUCUUGGGGCCCCGGCACUGGUGGGCACCGCGUCCUCGCGGCCCGCGGGCGCCCCGGCACGACUCGCUCUCCGCUCCUGGACUCGGCCACAGCCCCGUCCCCCCGGGGUUCCGCCGCAGGACAGCGCGCCCGGGCUUAGCCCCGAACUCCGGCCACCUGGGGGCCGACGGGGCGCCUCGGAACCAACGGCUCGACGCCGGAUUCCAGCGCUAGAGGGGACGCGAGUGCGGAGGACUUCCGGGGCGGGGUCCGGCUGGAGCGGAAGAGGCCUGGGGCUGCGCGGGGCCGGGCGGGGAGCGGGAAGGACGCCGUGGGUGCAGGGGCUCGGCCAUGAACUUGGAGCGGCUGCGGAAGCGCGUCCGGCAGUACCUGGACCAGCAACAGUAUCAAAGUGCUCUAUUUUGGGCAGAUAAAGUAGCUUCACUUUCUCAUGAGGAACCCCAGGACAUUUAUUGGUUGGCUCAGUGUCUUUACCUAACAGCACAGUAUCAUAGAGCAGCUCAUGCACUUCGGUCACGAAAACUGGACAAACUAUAUGAAGCAUGUCGCUACCUUGCAGCUAGAUGCCAUUAUGCUGCAAAAGAGCAUCAACAAGCUCUUGAUAUUCUUGAUAUGGAGGAGCCAAUCAACAAAAGGUUGUUUGAGAAAUGCUUAAAGGAUGAAAGUGGCUUGAAAGACCCCUCUAGUGACUGGGAAAUGUCACAGUCCUCAAUAAAGAGUUCUAUUUGUCUCCUACGGGGGAAGAUCUACGAUGCCCUGGAUAACCGAGCCCUAGCUACUUAUAGCUACAAAGAAGCUUUGAAGCUCGAUGCCUACUGUUUUGAAGCAUUUGAUCUUUUAACAUCACAUCACAUGUUGACAGCCCAAGAAGAAAAAGAACUUCUUGAGUCACUACCUCUUAGCAAGCUCUGUACUGAAGAACAGGAAUUGCUACGCUUUCUGUUUGAGAACAAAUUAAAAAAGUAUAAUAAACCUAGUGAAACUGUCCUCCCCGAGUCUGUAGAUGGUUUGCAAGAGAACCUGGAUGUGGUAGUGUCUUUAGCUGAAAGACAUUAUUAUAACUGUGAUUUUAAAAUGUGCUACAAGCUUACUUCUGUAGUAAUGGAGAAAGAUCCUUUCCAUGCAAACUGUUUACCUGUACAUAUAGGUACACUUGUGGAGCUGAAUAAAGCAAAUGAACUUUUCUAUCUUUCUCAUAAGUUGGUGGAUCUAUAUCCUAGUAAUCCUGUAUCUUGGUUUGCGGUGGGAUGCUACUAUCUCAUGGUUGGUCAUAAAAACGAGCAUGCCAGAAGAUAUCUCAGCAAAGCAACAACACUUGAGAAGACUUACGGGCCUGCGUGGGUAGCAUAUGGACACUCAUUUGCAGUUGAGAGUGAGCACGACCAAGCCAUGGCUGCUUACUUUACAGCAGCACAGCUGAUGAAAGGGUGUCAUUUGCCAAUGCUGUACAUCGGAUUAGAAUAUGGAUUGACCAAUAACUCAAAAUUGGCUGAAAGAUUCUUUGGCCAAGCACUAAGCAUUGCCCCAGAAGACCCAUUUGUGAUGCACGAGGUUGGUGUGGUUGCAUUUCAGAAUGGAGAAUGGAAAACGGCAGAAAAAUGGUUUCUUGAUGCUUUGGAAAAAAUUAAAGCAAUUGGAAAUGAGGUAACAGUGGACAAAUGGGAGCCUUUGUUGAACAACUUGGGGCAUGUCUGCAGGAAGCUUAAAAAGUACACUGAGGCCUUGGAUUAUCACCGUCAGGCACUGGUGUUAAUUCCCCAGAAUGCGUCCACCUAUUCUGCCAUUGGGUAUAUCCAUAGUCUGAUGGGCAAUUUUGAAAAUGCUGUUGACUAUUUCCACACAGCCCUUGGUCUUAGACGAGAUGAUACAUUUUCUGUUACAAUGCUUGGUCAUUGCAUUGAGAUGUACAUUGGUGAUUCUGAAGCUUACAUUGGAGCAGACAUUAAAGACAAAUUAAAAUGUUAUGACUUUGAUGUGCAUACAAUGAAGACACUAAAAAACAUUAUUUCACCUCCGUGGGAUUUCAGGGAAUUUGAAGUAGAAAAACAGACUGCAGAAGAGACAGGGCUUGUGCCCCUGGAAACCUCACGGAAAACCCCAGAUCCCAGACCUUCUUUGGAAGAAACCUUCGAAAUUGAAAUGAAUGAAAGUGACAUGAUGCUGGAGACCUCAAUGUCAGACCACAGCACAUGACUGCAGACAGGUCUCAGUUCCAUUUUGUCCAGGGGGAGGUCACGGUUUCCUCAUAUCCUUGUCCCAUCUUCAGAAAUCCCCACUUGUUAACACAAAUGCAGACGGCACUUCUCCACUGAAGAGUGGAGACAUGCCAAGAGGCUGGACCAUACACCUUUGGAGCAGAUAUUUUCUCGUCCCAAAAAGCAGUUUUGUGUAGAGGAAUAAAGAGGUUUCUGAAAAAGCAGACUCCUGAUAAAGGAGCCAUUUCCAUAUUGACAGUGAGUGCUUUAAGAAAUAAAAGGCAAAAUCCAAGCUGUUUUUCAGAUCAGCAGUUAAUACCAAUGUUUAGGCUUCAGAGUAUCAAAGAAAGGUAAUGUGUAGUUGUACUGUCAAGUAUUUUUCUAUUACUACCUAAUUUUUACUCUUAUAGUUUCCUAAAAAGGCAUCCUUUUUGACAACUUCAAAGUGACCAUACUGUCAUUUUCAGAGGAAUAUGGGAAUGUUAUGGUCACUGCUGCUUUAAACCACUGCCAUUACCAAUUAGAUGUGUUUCCAAGUAAGAUACAGCCUUUCCUGUAGCCAGCAUUUACCCCAGGACCACAUUCAUGUGUGGCAAAGCACAGUUACCUACUUUACUCUGACAUUUGGAGAUUAUUUUGCUUUUUUUUUUUUUGUCUAUAGUGUAUGUAAAACAAACGUAAAAACAUUUUAACAGGCUUGGUGAUAUCUAGGAAGCUAGAUUUUGUGAUGUAAUUUUUUAUAUAAAAUCUUAAGCUAUUUUACAAGUAUAUUUCAUUUACUAGAUCUUGAAAUUUGUAAGAUUUUUUGUUUACCAUUUCUUAGAAUCUUGUUAAUAACAAGUAAAGAGGGGCACCUGGGUGGCUCUGUCAGUUGGGCAUCUGCUUUCGGCUUGGGUCAUGAUCUCAGGGUCCUGGGAUCAAGUUCCGUGUUGGGCUCCCUGCUCAGUGGGGAGUCUGCUCCCCACCCCAGCCCCGGCUCUUACGUGUACUCUUCUCUCUCAAAGAAAUAAAUAAAAUCUUAAAAAAAUAGCAGAAACUAAAGAGUCAGAGGGGUCUUUAAAAAUGAACAGUGGUGGCUGUUAGCUGGGGAAAAAACAUUUGGGUAUUUUGCUGGCUAGGUUACAAGAAAUACACAUCUAGCAAACAUGGGAGUGCCUGUAGAUGUCAGAUGCAGGCCUGGGCUGGGCAUACAGAGUUGAAUAGAAACCUAGUUCCUGCGUAAGUGGAGUCCCACUUCUCAGUUGGUAGGGAGUCUUCAGCACUGAAACUGUAGAAACUAGUAAGUGGAGAUGUGCUCAAGGUUCUGAGGAUCUCCAGUGAAGCACCUUGACUGGGAUGGUGUUGGGUUGGGGUGAGAAGGUUCAGGAAGGUGGACAGGUCAUUAUAAGCCAAGGCCACAGUACAAACCAUGGCUUCAUUGAGGGGGCAAAGUAUGGACACAGGAAUGUCACAAAGCACUGCGCAUGACUGGACCCAAUGAGAAGCUGAGGACAGGAGUUCUGUUCUCCAUUUGUCAAUUUUGGUUUUUGGCUGAGUGAUAAAAGAGUGCUGCAUUAAGAACAGAUGUGAGGUCUAGAAUAAUUAAAGAGCUGAAAUUUUGUACUCUUAUAAUGAGUUUCCUAAAAAGGCAUCCUUUUUGACAACUUCUAAGUGACCAUACUGUCAUUUCCAGAGGAAUAUGGGAAUGUUAUGGUCACUGCUGCUUUAAACCACAUGAAGCAUGUCCCUAAUUUCCCGCGGGCUGGCUAACUGGGCCGAUACUUAAGAGGACUGUCAACCAGGAAAUAAGAGUGUGUAUUUGGGAGCAAAGAAUUGCAGUUUCAGGAGCAAAGAUCCAGGCGGGGUGGAAGGAAGGGAGGUGCAGUUACAGGAGUUAGGAAAAUUUUCUGGGCAGCCCGGGUGGCUCAGCGGUUUAGUGCCACCUUCAGGCCCAGGGCCUGAUCCUGGAGACCAGGGAUCAAGUCCCAUGUUGGGCUCCCUGCAUGGAGCUUGUGUCUCCCUCUGCCUGUGUCUGCCCCUCUCUCUGUCUCUCUCAUGAAUAAACAAAUACAGUCUUUAAAAAAAAUAAAAAAGAAUUUUCUAUGCGUGUUAAUAUAUAUUGACUGACUACUAAUAG